GACGAGGGGUGCGAACGUUAUUCGGAAUGAUUGGGCGUAAAGGGUGCGCAGGCGGUAUGUUAAGUCAACUGUUAAAUUCCCCAGCUUAACUGGGGGCAUGCGGUAGAAACUGGCAUACUAGAGGAUGGAAGAGAGAAGUGGAAUUCUCGGAGUAGCGGUAAAAUGCGUAGAUCUCGAGAGGAACACCGAUGGCGAAGGCAGCUUCUUGGUCCAUUUCUGACGCUCAUGCACGAAAGCGUGGGGAGCAAACAGG
RNAcentral lists this ribosomal RNA (253 nucleotides) under uncultured bacterium. RNAcentral's name for it is "partial 16S ribosomal RNA". It matches the Rfam family "Bacterial small subunit ribosomal RNA", at positions 524 to 776 of the family's 1533-position model. The record is from RNAcentral.